GAACACGGAGCUUGCUCUGUGGGAUCAGUGGCGAACGGGUGAGUAACACGUGAGCAACCUGCCCCUGACUCUGGGAUAAGCGCUGGAAACGGCGUCUAAUACUGGAUAUGUGACGCGACCGCAUGGUCUGUGUCUGGAAAGAAUUUCGGUUGGGGAUGGGCUCGCGGCCUAUCAGCUUGUUGGUGAGGUAAUGGCUCACCAAGGCGUCGACGGGUAGCCGGCCUGANAGGGUGACCGGCCACACUGGGACUGANACACGGCCCAAACUCCUACGGGAGGCAGCANUGGGGAAUAUUGCACANUGGGCGCAANCCUGAUGCAGCANCGCCNCGUGAGGGACGACGGCCUUCGGGUUGUAAACCUCUUUUAGCANGGAAGAAGCGAAAGUGACGGUACCUGCAGAAAAAGCGCCGGCUAACUACGUGCCAGCAGCCGCUGUAUUACGUAGGGCGCAAGCGUUAUCCCGNAUUAUUGGGGCGUAAAGAGCUUCUAAAGCCGGNUUGUCCCGCUNUGCCUGUGAAAANCCCGAGGGCUCANCCNCCGGCCUUCAUUUGGNUACC
Molecule: ribosomal RNA, 560 nt
Filed under: bacterium E4B
Lineage: Bacteria
Description: partial 16S ribosomal RNA gene
Rfam family: Bacterial small subunit ribosomal RNA
Source: RNAcentral